UGCGCCACCAGGGAAGCCCUGACCUUAACAUUUUUGAAGAGUACUGCUAAAAACAUCUCAACUGAUAUAACAAACUUGCCCUGUAGGGUGAUGGAUUAAGCAGAAGGCUUGAAUCUAUGCUACUCCCUGUGUGGCCACGCUCCCAUUGGAUCAACCCAACCAGAAGACAGAUGGCAAAGGAUUCCAGGUGAUACAGUCUGUAGAGGUCAGCCUCCUGGGGAACAAGGAAUCACCUCAGGAUGCACGUGGCAUGAAAGAGGUCCAGAAGCCCUUAUGUGCUCACGGUGAGGAAAAGAGAUUGCUGAGAUGCAGGAAAAACAAUCCAGCGAGCAAAAUGUCAUCAAUGCAGUGGCCCAGUGUGAUGCUUUGUGGACUCUCAAGACAAUCAAGAUCUCUGUGGAUUAUGUUAUGGCAGAGAACAGGAGAAUUGAUGUGUUCUUGAGGCAUGGCUGGGAAGGUAGACUGUCGUCCCUGAUAGGUAAAAGCAAGCUGCUUCUGAUUGUCCUUAUACAUUGGUAUGGGGUGCAGGGAGGCAUUAGGCAUAAGUCGCUGCUUACUAAGUGCCGGGGCCGUGUUAAUUGUUCCAGUAAAGAUACUGCACCUGAAGCAGCAACUUCAGUGGGGAUCACCACCUGAUGAAGUUUAUAAUAGUUAGGAUCUCAUUUUUCAAGAUCCAUCUGACUUCUGCAUGGGAGAAACUGGAAAGCUAAAUGGGAGAUAUAAUAAGUAACAGUAUUCCUACUUUUUUCAAGAUUUCAAAGGCAUUAAUCUUUGCAAUUUCCCCAGUGAUGUGGUAUUGCUUCCGAUUCACCACAGCAGUAAGAGGGGAAGUUCCAAGUGUUUCUGCUUAGUCUUUCCUACCAUAAUGAUCCUCAUCCCAUUGCUCAGGGAGCCAAUAUGGGGAUUCUGCAAGUUGUCAAGUAUGUCUAUUUAAAUAACAAAUUUAGAAACUGAGAACAUAACCCACAGGGUAGAUUUGUGGACAGACUGGGUCUACCAUGAUUCUGACUUGAGCUGAAAUGCUAUUACUUGACACUACAACCCCAUUUUGGACCACAGUAACAUUUUGGGUCCCCAGGAAUUAGCAUCAGUUCAGGGCCCGUGGAUAGUAAUCUCUGAAAAUUUCUUUUUCCUUAUAACACAGUCACUCUAGCAAGUGGCUGCAGGUCCUUUGGGGGAAUGCUUAGAGGAAGAUUCACUGUGUGUACCUGAGACAAUAGUGCAGAGCCAUUCUUCAGUAAUACCCCACAUCCCCUACAAUAGAAGGGCUCUAUGUGUGUGAAUUGACUUAGGUUUCAAAACUGAGUGAGAGCCAUGACUCUUCACAGUCGAGACUGCCAGAUUUUUGGCUACCAGAUCUAGAAUUUUUCCUGUUACAGAAGUCAAACAGUUCUCUAGUAGGGUGCCCAUCUAUUUCAUUCGUAGGACUCCAUGAUCAAUUAAACAUUAUCAAAGACCUCUGUGGACCAAGACGUUCUACUUACUGGGACAUUCCCUACUGCCCUUUAAGAUAGAUGUGCCCACCUGGUCUUAGUUAAGUGCUGCCAUUUGUCUUCCGCUACUUCAGGAUCCCAUCAUUUUCAUUGGAAUCAGGGAGCCUGUAUCAAUGGUGACACUCCCUGUGGUUGAAUCUGUCAUUCAAAGAGAUCAACCACAGAGCUUUCAGGGACACAUGUGCUCCCCUCUUGAGGCCUUAGUCAAGGCAGUGUCUCCUGGGCCUUCUCAUGGAACACAGUUGGUGGGUGGGUGUGCAGGCUGCACAUGAUAAAUCCAGUCAAAACUUCUCAUGUCCCUAUGCCUUUGAAUUUCCUCCUCCAUGUAAUUCAGGCAUAUAAAUCCAGGCUCUGGCAUCCCAGUCUCAUUAGAUGACACUCACUGCUGGUUCAAGUUUUAGUCAGUCACCAAGUAAGCAGUUAGAGACAUCUCCAGGGGCAUGAGAUGACACAUUAGAUCUGGAGUCUCUAUUAAGAUCAACAGUGUCAAUGAAUUUGCUCACUAUGGUGCUCUUGGUCUCCUUAUUCAUGAACAGGGGCUGGUUGUCCCUCUGCAGCCAUCACUCAGGACCCUGUUCACACCUUAGGUGUGUCUUUUAAAAAACAAUAAUUAGGGACUUCCCUGGUGGUCCAGUGGUAAAGAAUCCGCCUUCCA
Long non-coding RNA from Delphinapterus leucas (beluga whale), 2148 nucleotides. RefSeq lists it as uncharacterized. NCBI's taxonomy places the organism in Eukaryota, Metazoa, Chordata, Mammalia, Artiodactyla, Monodontidae. The record is from RefSeq and is a predicted model, not a curated record.